Etheostoma spectabile (orangethroat darter) is the source of this 464-nucleotide long non-coding RNA. RefSeq lists it as uncharacterized. NCBI's taxonomy places the organism in Eukaryota, Metazoa, Chordata, Actinopteri, Perciformes, Percidae. The record is from RefSeq and is a predicted model, not a curated record. The transcript has 3 exons.
CGAGCCGCUACUCGACAUUCCAGGGCUUGACAAGAUGAAAUGGCGGGGGAGAGCCCUUACCGCUCUGGCGUUACAGCUGUACACUAUAGCCAACUGUACGCGCGUCUCUCCUGGCAACCGCAAGGCACGUUAACCGCGACUAGAUGUAGUGAGCGGAAUAUAGCAGAGUAUAUGGCCAGACAAAGGGAGAGAGAGGGAGAGAGAGAGAGUGAAAAGAGGGAGGUCUACACAGAGUUUUUACCCCAUCUACAAUGUAGCAGUGAGGCUCCUCACUGCGACCAAGAGCAGAGAAGAUAUCUCCCCUGGCCCAGUAAAAGUGCAAAGAUGAUCAAGACCUUUCUUCUGCUGCUCUCAGACUGUGGAACAGUUCAUCCUGUACUGUCAAGUCUUCUCCAUCUAUUAUCACAACUUCACAUCAUACUAUUACUCCCUCAGUUUUAUUUCAAUCAAUAAAUCAACACGGC